UACGUAGGGUGCGAGCGUUGUCCGGAAUUACUGGGCGUAAAGAGCUUGUAGGUGGUUUGUCGCGUUGUUCGUGAAAUCUCACGGCUUAACUGUGAGCGUGCGGGCGAUACGGGCAGACUAGAGUACUGCAGGGGAGACUGGAAUUCCUGGUGUAGCGGUGGAAUGCGCAGAUAUCAGGAGGAACACCAACAGCGAAGGCAGCACUCUGGGCCGGUACUGACGCUGAGGAGCGAAAGCAUGGGGAGCGAACAGG
Molecule: ribosomal RNA, 253 nt
Filed under: uncultured bacterium
Lineage: Bacteria
Description: partial 16S ribosomal RNA
Rfam family: Bacterial small subunit ribosomal RNA
Source: RNAcentral